UUUCAUUUGCAGACUCAAAUAAUUUAGGAUUCUGAUGAGGAGGGAUAUUUGCAUUCCCCACACUCGGAGACAAAUCAGAACUCCAGCACCACAGGAGUUUCCUAGCUACUAACCGAACAGCAAACUUUUGAAAUUCAGCCACAGCAGGCCCCACAACCUGAGGCAAGUCAGCCAGCUCCAGACCAGCCACAGCAGCAACAGCAAAUGCAACAUGUGGAACUGGAAGGACCCCAGCAACCAGCUCCAAGGAUGUUAGACCAUGGAAGGGGCCGUGGAAGAAGUAGUCGUGGCAGACGUGGUGGAUCUGGCACUACCGGGGGCAGGACCGAACAAUCUGUAGAAAAAAUUGUAAUAGACAGUGAGCUAUUAAUCCAGAUAGUUCAUGAACGUCCUUCCCUAUGGGAUCAGACAGAUCCACAACAAGCCAACCACACAGCAACACGAAGACUAUGGCAGGACAUCUUACAUCAAACAUUACUAUGUUUUAAUAGUCUUUUCUGUGGGGACCAUUGGAUCACUGCUAACUUUCAGGAAUCUCCAAGGCCAAAGGUGUCCAAUCCUAGUUGCCACGUGAUAUUUUGUAUGCCACUCCGAUUACAAGAAGUAUAUAUUUCUUUUAGAUAUAUCACUUAUCUAUUGUUUAACAUCCCAAAUUUCCCAGUUACA
Molecule: long non-coding RNA, 666 nt
Organism: Hyla sarda
Lineage: Eukaryota; Metazoa; Chordata; Amphibia; Anura; Hylidae
Exons: 4
Source: RefSeq, a predicted model, not a curated record